Long non-coding RNA from Equus asinus (donkey), 1929 nucleotides. The record is from Ensembl. Lineage: Eukaryota; Metazoa; Chordata; Mammalia; Perissodactyla; Equidae.
CAGAGUUAGAGAGGCUGACUCUGCUGGAGAGGAAGUGGAGGAGGGGUCUGGACAGACAAAACAAUGGAGCCACAACGUGCCUCCUGUUCCCAUUCAGAUACCAAAGGCACAGGUUCUAAAGAUUGAGGGAAAUGCUAGAUCAAGGAUCUUUGCAGACGUAAUUUGCUGAGGAUCUCAAGAUGAAAUCAUCCUGAAUUUAAGGUUAGCAGUGAAUCCAAUGACUGGUGUCCUUACAAGAAGAGGAGAGGACACACAGAGACACACAAAGAUGAAGACCACGUGAAGAUGAAGUCAGAGAUUGGAGUGUUGCAGCUACAACUCAAGGAACACUUGGAACCACUAAAAGGCAUUGUUCCCAAGAACACUCACCAAUUCAAUUCUUCUGUGCUAAUUCCCAUCUCAGAGUCUCCUUCCAAGGGACUCAACUUGCAACAAUGGCAGGGGUGGUCUAAGAAAACAGAUGUUCAUAUGGGAUUUUGAAGCUGCCACCCACCAGCCAGCCAGCAGUGAGGACCCUGAUCUUCAGAAGAAGGAGGGCAGUUGCCACAUAAUGGAAGAGAAGAAUGUGAUGGCAUCCUGGUGAUCCACUAGGGUGCCUCUUUACUUUCCCUUGCUCAUCCUGAUGAUAAAAGGAUAAAUGCAACAGUCAUGCUUAAGAAGGGUAUGGAGAUCAGGAACUCAGAGGUCUCAGGAAUAAGGAUCCAAGUCAUGCCAACAGGUAAACCAUCUACUCAACAAAGAUGGUGGCUGAGAAUGAGGCAAUCUAGAAUGGGUAGUACAUGAUGAGUAUCUACUCAUCAAGCAGUUGUGGCCCCAACGGCUUGGGCUCCAACUACUUACAGCCAGGGCUGUAACUUAUCCUACUAGCCUUCUUAUCCAUUUUCCCCAGGAAAAGAGGUCCAACACAAUUUUGGAGGAACUCUUCCCAGAAUUUACAUGGAGAAGUGGAUUUGGGCAGUGCAAAUGGCGGACCAUAGUGGAAGCUGUGAUGUGCCACUCUGGCCCCUUUAAGACUGAAGGACUUAUUUCUCCAGCUAUUGAGGGCACUAUUGGCUACAGGUCUCAGUAAUUACCCUAGGUUGGAGAGUUCUGCCUUCCACAGACUCAUGCCUCCUCCCUAGGGCAACCCAGAUCCAAUAACUGGUCAGUGUGUAAUAUUAAGACCCAGACUCCUCAACUUAUCUCAGGACAACAUUAAAGGGCGUCACAGCUUCCGGGUCCCCAAAGGGUUGGCCUAGUCUUUGUUGAAACUACGUCACAGCCCAAUUUCUUCCUCUGUCCCAUACUGACUGCUUCUUUCUCUUCCUUUCCACAAUGGUGAUCCCAAGAGUGCUCCCUACAAAACUUCCCUCACGCUAGUCUCCAUCCCAGAGUCUGUUUCCCAGGAAACCCAUCCUUCAACAAGAAUAUUAUAGAAACACCUGAUGAAAUUUGAAUAUAGACUCUUGAUUAGAUAAUGGGAUUGUAUCAGUGUUAAAUUUCCUGAUUUUUGACCAUAUACAGUGUUUUGGUUUUUUUCAAAGAUUUAAAAAUUUUUUUUUUCCUUUCUCUCCCAAAGCCCCCCGGUACAUAGUUGUGUAUUUUCUAGUUGUGGGUCCUUCUAGUUGUGGUACGUGGGACACUGCCCCAGCACAGCCCGAUGAGCAGUGCCAUGUCUGCGCCCAGGACUCGAACCAGCAAAACCCUGGGCUGCCUAAGCAGAGCACGGGAGCUCAACCACUCAGCCACAGGGCUGGCCUCCCAUAUGCAGUGUUUAUAUAAGAGAAUGCCUUUGUUCUUAGGAAACACACACUGGCGUAUACAGGGAUAAAGGCACACAAUAUCUACAACUUAAUCUCAACUGAUUUAGAAAAAAAUGUACAUGGAGAGGUGGAGGAUCAGAGAGAGAAAGAAGAAACUAGGGCAAAAUGUAAACAAUUAGUGAAUCUG